GGGAGUGUCCGUGUUCCUGGUGGACACCACGGCCUUCAAAGCCGCUGAGGCGCUGUACCCACAGAGCCUGGUGGGUUCGAUUCCCAUCCACUCCCG
RNAcentral lists this transfer RNA (96 nucleotides) under Phycisphaerales bacterium. RNAcentral describes it as "tRNA-Sec". It matches the Rfam family "Selenocysteine transfer RNA". Lineage: Bacteria; Pseudomonadati; Planctomycetota; Phycisphaerae; Phycisphaerales. The record is from RNAcentral. RNAcentral also lists the same sequence under 1 other name.